UACGUAGGGUGCGAGCGUUGUCCGGAAUUAUUGGGCGUAAAGGGCUCGUAGGCGGUCUGUCGCGUCGGGAGUGAAAACUCAGGGCUUAACCCUGAGCCUGCUUCCGAUACGGGCAGACUAGAGGUAUGCAGGGGAGAACGGAAUUCCUGGUGUAGCGGUGGAAUGCGCAGAUAUCGGGAGGAACACCAGUGGCGAAGGCGGCCUUCUGGGCCUAUCCUGACGCUGAGGAGCGAAAGCGUGGGGAGCAAACCGG
This 253-nucleotide ribosomal RNA is filed under the name uncultured bacterium. RNAcentral's name for it is "partial 16S ribosomal RNA". It matches the Rfam family "Bacterial small subunit ribosomal RNA", at positions 524 to 776 of the family's 1533-position model. The record is from RNAcentral.